This 253-nucleotide ribosomal RNA is filed under the name uncultured bacterium. Its description in RNAcentral is "partial 16S ribosomal RNA". It matches the Rfam family "Bacterial small subunit ribosomal RNA", at positions 524 to 776 of the family's 1533-position model. The record is from RNAcentral.
UACGUAGGGGGCGGGCAUUAUCCGGAUUUACUGGGCGUAAAGCGCGUUAAGGCGGUUGGCAAAGUUGGUUGUGAAAUCUCAGGGCUCAACCCUGAAAUUGCGACCAAUACUGGUCGACUAGAGUGUGAGAGAGGAAGGUGGGGUUCCCGGUGUAGUAGUGAAAUGCGUAGAUAUCGGGAGGAACACCAGUGGCGAAGGCGGCCUUCUGGCUCAUAACUGACGCUGUAGCGCGAAAGCGUGGGGAGCGAACCGG